Molecule: long non-coding RNA, 219 nt
Filed under: Cyanistes caeruleus (blue tit)
Lineage: Eukaryota; Metazoa; Chordata; Aves; Passeriformes; Paridae
Description: lncRNA (ENSCCEG00000012436.1)
Source: RNAcentral
UUUAUUUUUUUUUUAACAGAUUUUAUCUCCUGCUGAAAUGGCAGCUGAACAGUGGAAUAACUGAAAUACUGGCAAAAGACUAGUGUUUGGGUCUGUUGUGCUGUGACAGGGAAAAGCAGCUCUCUGUGGCCUCCAUGGCUGAUCGGUAGCUAAAGUGAAAGAGCAGAGCAACACUUACUUCAAUAAGCAAGUAUUCAAUCAUAUUAAAAUUGAAUGUGC